AUAAGGCGAAUUAGUGGCCACCGCUGAGUUGCAACAGAGAUAGCACAUUGGUGAUAUGAGGAAGUCGUUAGUGUUUAGUUCUGUAGGGCUUCUUUGUUCUAUUGGAUUUUUAUGAAGCAGUCUUUUAACGUUCCCUUGAUUAGGAUUUAUGAGUGUGAAAUUUCAACGAAGGAAGCUCGUUCCCAGAAAUUGAUGGAAGGUAAAAUGAAAAAUAGCAUCAAGGUGGUAGGUUUCCAUGAAUAACUUAUUUUUCAUCUACUCCCCAUUAAUGUAGCUUAUAGUGAAUUUUUUCUUUUUGAUAAAUUGAUGUAAAGUGAAAUGGAAUAUAAAAUGAUGGUGUCAUUCUUUUGAAGGAGUGAUUAUAAGGUAAUUUUAUGUUGUAAUUUUCACAGCAUUGUUCACGCUAUCUAACAUCGUUGAAGAUUGCAGAUCAAUUUUAUUUCUCAUUUUUUACAAAUUAGUUAAUAGUUAAUUAGCUAAAGUUAAAAAUUCAAUCUAUACAUUCAAUUUAGAUCUCAAAAUUUGAAUGUUUUUAGUGGUAGAAAUUAAAUUAGAUAUUUUUCGUUAACAAAAGAAAGACUUGAAAUGAUAAGGAAGGAAAUAAAAUAGUAAUAUCGAUAAGAGAAUUGUAAAAGAGAAAUCACUUGAAAUUUGAAAGUUUCCAAAAUUUACAAUGUUGAGCAGUAAUAUGUUAAAUUGUAAUGCAACGUCAUUAAAUAUUCAACAAACGUCGAUGACAUGGUCAUCAUAUGCUUACGAAUCUGUCACGGUAUAAUCAAAUAUUAUUCAAUGUCAUGGAACGUGACUGACAUGCGAACGUUUUAUUACAUGUGUAUUAGGACAUUCAUGGAACGAUGAAUUAUGUUUUGAAUGCACCGUAAUAGUCUCUUAAAUCAAAGUUAAUCUUUUGAUAAAGAAAGGCAAUAUCCUCUUUUGAUUGGGUUGUCCGUUUGCAAAAAUCGUCCUAGAUAUUGGAAACUCAUCGCAAACAAAAGUUUAAUGAAAGCCAUGAAUCAGCCUGACAGAAAUCACAGAAGCUCGAUCAGAUGCUCGAGAUUCUUCGCGAAGAACGAACUUUACGCAAACAGGAUAACCCUAUGUAAUGGAAUGGUAAUUGAACAGGAAUCAGUUUUCCUCUGCCUACAGCUUCGUCAAGACGGAGAAUAAAUUAUACGUUAAUCGUGUUUAAAAACAACAUUCGUAAAAACGAGUUUCUACACUAACAAAUUGCUUAACAAUGCUCACCAUUACUUGGAUUUCUUUCCUUUGUUGAAGAAAAAUUACAACAAUCAGGUUAAGUAAUCAUUUUAGAAUAUUUAGAUUAGAAGGCUAUUUAGAGAUCUAACGAAUUCUCUUAUCUUCCAUACUUUUCCCUAAAGAAAAAAUAUGUGACUUUAAUCUAUAUCUUUUAUAUUCCAAAGGAUUAUAUUUUCAUCCAAUAAUCUUAUAAAUAUAUUGCAGAUAUUUAGAAAUAGAUGUGAAGAGUCGUAAAUAACAAUUAGGAACGGCAAUAAAAGAAUUGAAAAAUAACUAAGAUAUGCUACUAUAAGAAAAUAAUAAUAGGAAUACAAACUAUUAAAAAAGGUUAAACGUAAGUAAAAUCUCACAGUUCUUCGUUAGUCUAUACUAUUGUUCUCCACUUCCGUAAUUGUUAUUUGCCCGCAUAUUUCAAUUACACGCGCAACGAGCGCGUGACGCAAUGCGAAUUAAAAUUCCAAGUCGAAGGUUUCACGUUACGUGAUCCACUUUUCGAUGAACAUCGGACGAAUUUCGUUACCCAAGCAAAUUUUGCUGAAAAAGGGUGUAACAGUCGAAUCAAUUUCACACAAGGAAGUUAGAGUUUAGCAUUGUUACGCGACUGACCUUUAUCGUUACGUUCCGUCUGUUUGAGUUUCUCACGGGGUGUGUAUUUUGUAUUCUGAACGCUAGAGCGUGUGUUUGUGUUGUAUCGCUAGAACUGCCAACCUAUAAUGUGUACCUAAAUAUGUUAUACAUAGUUAAUUAAAAUUAAGGCAAUAUGAUAAUAACAUAUAAGUAUAUAUAUUCAAGUUCCUGUACCAAUAACAAUAAACUUUAAUAUUAUCAAAAAUA
Long non-coding RNA from Bombus terrestris (buff-tailed bumblebee), 2091 nucleotides. RefSeq lists it as uncharacterized. The transcript has 2 exons. The record is from RefSeq and is a predicted model, not a curated record. Lineage: Eukaryota; Metazoa; Arthropoda; Insecta; Hymenoptera; Apidae.